UUUUAAUGUAAAUAUAGAAGUYUAGAUUAUUAAAAGUUAAGUUCUUUAAAAUUAAAUAUAAUGGCGGUAUUUUAGUCUUUUCAGAGGAACCUGUUCUAUAAUUGAUAAUCCACGUUUAAAUAUACUUUUAUUAGAAAUUUAUAUAUCGUUGUUAAAAUUAUUUUUUAAAAAUUUAAUAAUUAAAAUUUUUUUUAGAAAUUAAAUCAGAUCAAGGUGUAGUUUAUAUAAAAGCAGAAAUGGGUUACAAUAAUUUAUAAAUUAUGGUUUAUUUAUUUUAAAUAUAAUAAUAAAUUGGAUUUGAAAGUAAUUAAAUUUUAUUUUUUUUUGAUGAUUAAGCUCUAAAAUAUGU
RNAcentral lists this ribosomal RNA (349 nucleotides) under Diomus sp. CO818. Its description in RNAcentral is "partial 12S ribosomal RNA". Lineage: Eukaryota; Metazoa; Arthropoda; Insecta; Coleoptera; Coccinellidae. The record is from RNAcentral.